Molecule: ribosomal RNA, 547 nt
Filed under: Colletotrichum gloeosporioides
Lineage: Eukaryota; Fungi; Ascomycota; Sordariomycetes; Glomerellales; Glomerellaceae
Description: eukaryotic LSU rRNA
Rfam family: 5.8S ribosomal RNA (bases 177-330)
Source: RNAcentral
UUACCGCUCUACAACCCUUUGUGAACAUACCUAACCGUUGCUUCGGCGGGCAGGGGAAGCCUCUCGCGGGCGACCCCUCCCGGCGCCGGCCCCAUCACGGGGGCGGAGCGCCCGCCGGAGGAAACCAAACUCUAUUUACACGACGUCUCUUCUGAGUGGCACAAGCAAAUAAUUAAAACUUUUAACAACGGAUCUCUUGGUUCUGGCAUCGAUGAAGAACGCAGCGAAAUGCGAUAAGUAAUGUGAAUUGCAGAAUUCAGUGAAUCAUCGAAUCUUUGAACGCACAUUGCGCUCGCCAGCAUUCUGGCGAGCAUGCCUGUUCGAGCGUCAUUUCAACCCUCAAGCACCGCUUGGUUUUGGGGCCCCACGGCCGACGUGGGCCCUUAAAGGUAGUGGCGGACCCUCCCGGAGCCUCCUUUGCGUAGUAACUAACGUCUCGCACUGGGAUCCGGAGGGACUCUUGCCGUUAAACCCCCAAAUUUUUUCAGGUUGACCUCGGAUCAGGUAGGACUACCCGCUGAACUUAAGCAUAUCAAUAAGCGGAGGA